Long non-coding RNA from Styela clava, 3089 nucleotides. RefSeq lists it as uncharacterized. NCBI's taxonomy places the organism in Eukaryota, Metazoa, Chordata, Ascidiacea, Stolidobranchia, Styelidae. The record is from RefSeq and is a predicted model, not a curated record.
UCCGCGCAGUGUUGAAUAAUCUAAAAGUUGUGUCCUGUCUCUAUAGAAGAAGAACAAUACUUUAUUUCAGUGAAUUGCAAUGCUAAUGAAAUAUUUCGUUUGACAUAGAUGCCAGUUAAGGGUUAAGAGUAUUGACAAACACUAGCACGCAAUUUCACGAAGUCGAUUUAAUCCGUUCCAGUGUGAGAGGAGUUGCAUGCCGUCAAGUUGCACGUUGCAAGCUAAUCAGUGAAAAUCUCGAGACUCGGCGUUUCCGUAAUAAUGCGUUAUAAAAUGAGGUUCAAGUAUCGUCAGAAAUAAGAUAUUGCCGCCGGCUUAAAUGACAAUGCAAAGAUUUUACUUUUUAUUUCGAAAGGGUUUCAUGAAGAACAAACGACGAGAAGUGGGACCGAAUGAUAUUUCAGGAACACCUGCGGAGAAAUUUUACCAAACACAAACAACGAAUGAAUCGGAUGUUACCCAGUGGGGAAUUAAACAAAGUCGGAUAUGCGGGAGGCUCAGGAAAGGAAUACUUAGUAGUUCAAAAAAACAGCAGCAGCUUGGAACCAUAAAAUGAACACAUGGUCUUCAAGACAAGUCCUGUUUCUGCUUGUGUUCGCUGGGAUCUGUAAAACAUCAUCAGCCAUAGAUCUGUAUUCAAAGUACUUUUUGGAAUCUGGCUGUGAAGUUCAACAUGCCGAGGAAAACAACAAUGGAUUUGCUCCAUACAACAUAUCUACUGUCAACUGUUUAUCUAAUUUAAUUCCGGGUACAUUCAUAUUCGUUACAUGUAACGAAUUCUGUCAAGACCCAAUAACCUUGGAAAUUUUGCCGAAAAGUAGUUACCAGCCAGAACCUGUUUCAAUAAAAAUGACAUUUGUGGCCAGAUUUGACGACGUAAAAAUAGAGUGGACUGAAACUGUUGAUGUAGCGUGCAAAUGCGUUCGACUCGAUGAAGUUCCAAACGCAGAAGAGCAACAUCGCAUUAGUCGGAGACAUAGAAGAAAACGAAAAUGCAGAAAUGUUUAGGUCUCCGGAUUAAUUGGGAUAUUCUUCUAGAAUCUAGACAGACAAAAGAACUGAUUCAUAUUGUUGAUGUAAAAGGUAUAUAUAUAUAAGUUUGACUACGUAUAUUUACAGUGAAGCGGAGACAAAAGCUCAUUGUGCUUGAUAAUAAAAGUAAAAUUGAUGGAAUCCACGCGAAAGAACCCACGAACUUUUUAAUUACUUCUACAAAAUGGUUCUUUCACACUUGAGUUUUUGUUAGUGUGUGAUUGUCCGCAAAAGUUUCCAAAUGGCCUGGGUUCGGUUUUUUGAGCGUCAGCCUGUAUAUAUAUGCAAUGUUGCAUUAAGUAGUUAUGUAAAAAAUGGUUCCUUUUAGAGAGAACUCAAUCAAGAUUUCAGGUAAGAUAUAUGAUGAAAAUUCUACGGAAUACCACCUAAAUAUAUAAGGUAGUACAACCGAAUAUAUUAUAAAUGAAACUUUAUUAAUCGUAACUAUGAUCUAAUCCUAGCAACCGGUUCCCAAAUAUUACAAUUUCCAAGAAUCGAUACCCAACAAUACAGACAGCUAAAACGCGAUUAAAUAAAUAUACACCAUAGCAUGAUUAUUUCUCGGAACAAGGUUUGACAAAAAGUACAAGGUAUAUUUAUUGACGAAUCAAAUUAAAUAGACAAUUUAAUAAGCAAUAUUUGAUCUCAAGUAAUAUUGCCGGAUUAGCAUUAAUUUUAAUUGCUUAAUUCAUCCCGUCUGAAACUUCCUACACCACACGCUAGUCGUCCAACCAACGUUUGAUACAAUGCAGCGCGAAAAAUAUAUAAAAAAUUUCAGAAAAAAAAUGAAAUCGCAUUAUUGGGUCAAAGGGGCAAUGUGGUGUUCACUUGUGGAUAAUUUCAGAACUGGGAAUAAAUUUUCAAAAGAAACAGGUAUUCCUUUCUAAUAAAUUAUCAGAUUGAAAUUGAACCGGAGAAAACCAUCCGGUCCCAUAUAGGGAUGAUCACGAAUUUUAUUACUUUAUAUUCAAAAUACAUGUUAUGCAUAUACACUUUGCCAAUUGCUGGCUUCUGUUCUAACAAAAUGGAUGCCGUUGAUGAUUUGGAAUUUUAUUGACAACUUUUUGUAAAAAUUCUUACUGUUCUAAUAAAAUGCCUAUACAGGGUUAGCCUAAACUAGGGUGACAUUUAUUCCUAAUCAAUUCAUUUAUUAACUGUCAACCCUCAUUUGGCCCACUCUGUAUAUGAUUUUUAAUGCAUUGCCUUGAAAUAAUUGAUUCACUCUUGGAAAAAAAUAUUUUUUUGUAAUAGACAUUCCUUUAAAUACCAUUUAUUAACGUAUUUGUACUGUCUAAUGUCCGGGUUAAAGUAAUCAGAAUAUUUUUGUCUACGAGUUACAUGGUUUGUACAAUAUGUUUUCUAUUUUUCGCGCUAUAUUUAGUGGUAUUAUGUGAAAAUGUGACAUUUUAUCUGCAUAUGUGCAUCGCUAUCAACUAUUUGUAAAAAAGACUAUCUGUUCUGAUAAAGUGCAUAUUAUCUUGAAAUAGAUGAUUCACUGUUGGAAAAAGUAUUUUAUUCUGAUGUAAUAGACAUUCCUUUUAAAUAACAUUUAUUAAUCCGUUUGUAACUGUUUGGUGUCAGCGGUGAAGUGAUGAAAAUAUUUUUGCUAUGAGUUACAGUGUUUGUACAACAUAUUUUCUAUUUUUCAAGCUAUAUUUAGUGAUUCUAUUUAAAAAUUGGACAUUUUAUUUGCACAUUAUGUGCAUCACCAUGUCUUGUUCAAGUUUUUGUGAGAAAUUCUUUUCUUUUCUAAUAAAGUGCAUAUUAUCUUGAAAUGGAUGAUUCACUGUUGGAAAAAAUAUUUACUUCUGUUGUAAUAGACAUUCCCUUAAUUAAAUAACGUUUAUUAAUCUGUGUGUAACUGUCUCGUGUAAGCGUUAAAAUAAUCAAAAUAUUUUUGUCUAUGAGUUACAGCGUUUGUACAACAUAUUUUCUAUUUUUUGCGUUAUAUUUAGUGAUAUUAUGUGAAAAUUUAACAUUUAUCAGCAUUUGUGCAUCGCUAUACCAUGUUCAGCAUUUUAUAUCUUAUAAAUAUACAAGUAUUAUUGUUUAAAGUA